RNAcentral lists this ribosomal RNA (744 nucleotides) under uncultured bacterium. Its description in RNAcentral is "bacterial SSU rRNA". It matches the Rfam family "Bacterial small subunit ribosomal RNA", at positions 8 to 796 of the family's 1533-position model. The record is from RNAcentral.
AGAGUUUGAUCAUGGCUCAGAAUGAACGCUGGCGGCAGGCCUAAAACAUGCAAGUCGAGCGCUUGUAGCAAUACAGGAGCGGCGCACGGGUGAGUAACACGUGGGAAUAUGCCUUUUGGUACGGAACAACGUUUGGAAACGAACGCUAAUACCGUAUGGUCCCUUCGGGGUAAAGAUUUAUCGCCAAAAGAGUAGCCCGCGUUGGAUUAGCUAGUUGGUAAGGUAAUGGCUUACCAAGGCGACGAUCCAUAGCUGGUCUGAGAGGACGAUCAGCCACACUGGGACUGAGACACGGCCCAGACUCCUACGGGAGGCAGCAGUUAGGAAUAUUGGACAAUGGGCGCAAGCCUGAUCCAGCCAUGCCGCGUGAGUGAUGAAGGCCUUCGGGUUGUAAAGCUCUUUAGUCCACGAAUAUAAUGACUGUAGUGGAAGAAUAAGCCCCGGCUAACUUCGUGCCAGCAGCCGCGGUAAUACGAAGGGGGCGAGCGUUAUUCGGAAUCACUGGGCGUAAAGCGUGCGUAGGCGGUUGUGAAAGUUAGGAGUGAAAGCCCCAGGCUCAACUUGGGAAUUGCUCUUAAUACUACACGACUUGAAUUCGGGAGAGGAUAGCGGAAUUGUCAGUGUAGCAGUGAAAUGCGUAGAUAUUGACAGGAACACCAGUGGCGUAAGCGGCUAUCUGGACCGACAUUGACGCUGAGGCACGAAAGCGUGGGGAUCAAACAGGAUUAGAUACCCUAGUAGUCC